GACGAACCAUGCAAACGUUAUUCGGAUUCACUGGGCUUAAAGCGUGCGUAGGCGGUCUUGUUAGUCAGGUGUGAAAGCCCUCAGCCUAACUGAGGAAUUGCGCUUGAUACUGCAUGACUAGAGAAUGAUAGAGGUGGGUGGAACUGAUGGUGGAGCGGUGAAAUGCGUUGAUAUCAUCAGGAACACCAGUGGCGAAGGCGACCCACUGGGUCAUUUCUGACGCUGAGGUACGAAAGCCAGGGGAGCAAACGGG
RNAcentral lists this ribosomal RNA (253 nucleotides) under uncultured bacterium. RNAcentral describes it as "partial 16S ribosomal RNA". It matches the Rfam family "Bacterial small subunit ribosomal RNA", at positions 524 to 776 of the family's 1533-position model. The record is from RNAcentral.